AUUGAACGCUGGCGGCAUGCCUAACACAUGCAAGUCGAACGGUAGCAGGUCCUUCGGGAUGCUGACGAGUGGCGGACGGGUGCGUAACGCGUGGGAAUCUGCCCAAUAGUGGGGGAUAACCCGGGGAAACCCGGGCUAAUACCGCAUACUCCCUACGGGGGAAAGUGGGGGACCGCAAGGCCUCACGUUAUUCGAGCGGCCGACGUCUGAUUAGCUAGUUGGUGGGGUAAAGGCCUACCAAGGCGACGAUCAGUAGCGGGUCUGAGAGGAUGAUCCGCCACACUGGGACUGAGACACGGCCCAGACUCCUACGGGAGGCAGCAGUGGGGAAUUUUGGACAAUGGGGGCAACCCUGAUCCAGCCAUUCCGCGUGAGUGAAGAAGGCCUUCGGGUUGUAAAGCUCUUUCAGCUGGAACGAAACGGUACGCGCUAACAUCGUGUGCUAAUGACGGUACCGGCAGAAGAAGCACCGGCUAACUACGUG
This 484-nucleotide ribosomal RNA is filed under the name uncultured bacterium. RNAcentral describes it as "bacterial SSU rRNA". It matches the Rfam family "Bacterial small subunit ribosomal RNA", at positions 29 to 507 of the family's 1533-position model. The record is from RNAcentral.